UAGAGUACUCGGCUACGAACCGAGCGGUCGGAGGUUCGAAUCCUCCUGGAUGCACCA
This 57-nucleotide transfer RNA is filed under the name Erwinia persicina. RNAcentral's name for it is "tRNA-Ser". It matches the Rfam family "tRNA", at positions 19 to 71 of the family's 71-position model. From Rfam's summary of the family: Transfer RNA (tRNA) molecules are approximately 80 nucleotides in length. Their secondary structure includes four short double-helical elements and three loops (D, anti-codon, and T loops). Lineage: Bacteria; Pseudomonadati; Pseudomonadota; Gammaproteobacteria; Enterobacterales; Erwiniaceae. The record is from RNAcentral.